RNAcentral lists this ribosomal RNA (1012 nucleotides) under Staphylococcus aureus. RNAcentral describes it as "partial 23S ribosomal RNA". It matches the Rfam family "Bacterial large subunit ribosomal RNA", at positions 1603 to 2616 of the family's 2925-position model. The record is from RNAcentral. Lineage: Bacteria; Bacillati; Bacillota; Bacilli; Caryophanales; Staphylococcaceae.
CACUGCCGAGAAAAGCCUCUAGAUAGAAAAUAGGUGCCCGUACCGCAAACCGACACAGGUAGUCAAGAUGAGAAUUCUAAGGUGAGCGAGCGAACUCUCGUUAAGGAACUCGGCAAAAUGACCCCGUAACUUCGGGAGAAGGGGUGCUCUUUAGGGUUAACGCCCAGAAGAGCCGCAGUGAAUAGGCCCAAGCGACUGUUUAUCAAAAACACAGGUCUCUGCUAAACCGUAAGGUGAUGUAUAGGGGCUGACGCCUGCCCGGUGCUGGAAGGUUAAGAGGAGUGGUUAGCUUCUGCGAAGCUACGAAUCGAAGCCCCAGUAAACGGCGGCCGUAACUAUAACGGUCCUAAGGUAGCGAAAUUCCUUGUCGGGUAAGUUCCGACCCGCACGAAAGGCGUAACGAUUUGGGCACUGUCUCAACGAGAGACUCGGUGAAAUCAUAGUACCUGUGAAGAUGCAGGUUACCCGCGACAGGACGGAAAGACCCCGUGGAGCUUUACUGUAGCCUGAUAUUGAAAUUCGGCACAGCUUGUACAGGAUAGGUAGGAGCCUUUGAAACGUGAGCGCUAGCUUACGUGGAGGCGCUGGUGGGAUACUACCCUAGCUGUGUUGGCUUUCUAACCCGCACCACUUAUCGUGGUGGGAGACAGUGUCAGGCGGGCAGUUUGACUGGGGCGGUCGCCUCCUAAAAGGUAACGGAGGCGCUCAAAGGUUCCCUCAGAAUGGUUGGAAAUCAUUCAUAGAGUGUAAAGGCAUAAGGGAGCUUGACUGCGAGACCUACAAGUCGAGCAGGGUCGAAAGACGGACUUAGUGAUCCGGUGGUUCCGCAUGGAAGGGCCAUCGCUCAACGGAUAAAAGCUACCCCGGGGAUAACAGGCUUAUCUCCCCCAAGAGUUCACAUCGACGGGGAGGUUUGGCACCUCGAUGUCGGCUCAUCGCAUCCUGGGGCUGUAGUCGGUCCCAAGGGUUGGGCUGUUCGCCCAUUAAAGCGGUACGCGAGCUGGGUUCAGAA